CGCCAAUAAAACUCAGGGAGACGACGAAAAAGAACCGCUUCGUUAAGGUAAAGCAUGAUCAAGACGUACAGCGACUGCGGCACUAUUACAGAACAGUUCUGAGGAACCGUCUAAAUAAGCCAUCUUUGCCGUUUUUGAAGUCACCGGAAAACCACCAGUCGAAGUCGCGAGCACCUUUUUGAAGAGGCCGAGGACGGCAAGUCAGCAACAUGAGGAGGAGGAGGAGGAGAAAGGCCUCAUGUCGAAGAUGCCACCGCUCAUAUGUCACAAGGUGCAUCAUGAUUUGAAUCGCCAAUCUGCCAAACCCCCAGACCUCCGCGCCUCCUCCAGGGCGACAUUUCAGACGGGCCCCGAGGGCGACUGGAGGGAAGACAUUG
Poeciliopsis prolifica (blackstripe livebearer) is the source of this 377-nucleotide long non-coding RNA. RefSeq lists it as uncharacterized. NCBI's taxonomy places the organism in Eukaryota, Metazoa, Chordata, Actinopteri, Cyprinodontiformes, Poeciliidae. The record is from RefSeq and is a predicted model, not a curated record. The transcript is spliced from 3 exons.